AGGACGAACGCUGGCGGCGUGCUUAACACAUGCAAGUCGAGCGGAAAGGCCCUUCGGGGUACUCGAGCGGCGAACGGGUGAGUAACACGUGAGCAACCUGCCCUCAGCUCUGGGAUAGCUCCGGGAAACCGGAAUUAAUACCGGAUAUGACCCUGACUGACAUCGGUCAGGGUGGAAAGGAUUCCGGCUGAGGAUGGACUCGCGGCCUAUCAGCUAGUUGGUGGAGUAACGGCCCACCAAGGCGACGACGGGUAGCCGGCCUGAGAGGGCGACCGGCCACACUGGGACUGAGACACGGCCCAGACUCCUGCGGGAGGCAGCAGUGGGGAAUAUUGCGCAAUGGGCGAAAGCCUGACGCAGCGACGCCGCGUGGGGGAUGAAUGCCUUCGGGUUGUAAACCCCUUUCAGCAGGGACGAAGCGAGAGUGACGGUACCUGCAGAAGAAGCGCCGGCUAACUACGCGCCAGCAGCCGCGGUAA
RNAcentral lists this ribosomal RNA (479 nucleotides) under uncultured bacterium. Its description in RNAcentral is "SSU rRNA". It matches the Rfam family "Bacterial small subunit ribosomal RNA", at positions 26 to 523 of the family's 1533-position model. The record is from RNAcentral.